GACGAACGCUGGCGGCGUGCUUAACACAUGCAAGUCGAACGGAAAGGCCCUGCUUUUGUGGGGUGCUCGAGUGGCGAACGGGUGAGUAACACGUGAGUAACCUGCCCUUGACUUUGGGAUAACUUCAGGAAACUGGGGCUAAUACCGGAUAGGAGCUCCUGCUGCAUGGUGGGGGUUGGAAAGUUUCGGCGGUUGGGGAUGGACUCGCGGCUUAUCAGCUUGUUGGUGGGGUAGUGGCUUACCCAGGCUUUGACGGGUAGCCCGCCUGAGAGGGUGACCGGCCACAUUGGGACUGAGAGACGGCCCAGACUCCUACGGGAGGCAGCAGUGGGGAAUAUUGCACAAUGGGCGGAAGCCUGGUGCAGCAACGCCGCGUGCGGGAUGACGGCCUUCGGGUUGUAAACCGCUUUCGCCUGUGACGAAGCGUGAGUGACGGUAAUGUGUAAAGAAGCACCGGCUAACUACGUG
RNAcentral lists this ribosomal RNA (468 nucleotides) under uncultured bacterium. RNAcentral describes it as "partial 16S ribosomal RNA". It matches the Rfam family "Bacterial small subunit ribosomal RNA", at positions 28 to 507 of the family's 1533-position model. The record is from RNAcentral.